CCUGAUGCAGCCAUGCCGCGUGUGUGAAGAAGGCCUUCGGGUUGUAAAGCACUUUCAGUCGUGAGGAAGGUAGUGUAGUUAAUAGCUGCAUUAUUUGACGUUAGCGACAGAAGAAGCACCGGCUAACUCCGUGCCAGCAGCCGCGGUAAUACGGAGGGUGCGAGCGUUAAUCGGAAUUACUGGGCGUAAAGCGCAUGCAGGUGGUUUGUUAAGUCAGAUGUGAAAGCCCGGGGCUCAACCUCGGAAUAGCAUUUGAAACUGGCAGACUAGAGUACUGUAGAGGGGGGUAGAAUUUCAGGUGUAGCGGUGAAAUGCGUAGAGAUCUGAAGGAAUACCGGUGGCGAAGGCGGCCCCCUGGACAGAUACUGACACUCAGAUGCGAAAGCGUGGGGAGCAAACAGGAUUAGAUACCCUGGUAGUCCACGCCGUAAACGAUGUCUACUUGGAGGUUGUGGCCUUGAGCCGUGGCUUUCGGAGCUAACGCGUUAAGUAGACCGCCUGGGGAGUACGGUCGCAAGAUUAAAACUCAAAUGAAUUGACGGGGGCCCGCACAAGCGGUGGAGCAUGUGGUUUAAUUCGAUGCAACGCGAAGAACCUUACCUACUCUUGACAUCCAGAGAACUUUCCAGAGAUGGAUUGGUGCCUUCGGGAACUCUGAGACAGGUGCUGCAUGGCUGUCGUCAGCUCGUGUUGUGAAAUGUUGGGUUAAGUCCCGCAACGAGCGCAACCCUUAUCCUUGUUUGCCAGCACUUCGGGUGGGAACUCCAGGGAGACUGCCGGUGAUAAACCGGAGGAAGGUGGGGACGACGUCAAGUCAUCAUGGCCCUUACGAGUAGGGCUACACACGUGCUACAAUGGCGCAUACAGAGGGCAGCCAACU
This 880-nucleotide ribosomal RNA is filed under the name Vibrio harveyi. RNAcentral describes it as "bacterial SSU rRNA". It matches the Rfam family "Bacterial small subunit ribosomal RNA", at positions 382 to 1255 of the family's 1533-position model. Lineage: Bacteria; Pseudomonadati; Pseudomonadota; Gammaproteobacteria; Vibrionales; Vibrionaceae. The record is from RNAcentral.